AUUGAACGCUGGCGGCAUGCCUUACACAUGCAAGUCGAACGGCAGCGGGGGAGAAGCUUGCACCGCUGACGAGUGGCGAACGGGUGAGUAAUGCGUCGGAACGUGCCGAGUAGUGGGGGAUAACGCAGCGAAAGUUGUGCUAAUACCGCAUACGUACUGAGGUAGAAAGUGGGGGACCUUCGGGCCUCACGCUAUUCGAGCGGCCGACGUCUGAUUAGCUAGUAGGUGAGGUAAAGGCUCACCUAGGCGACGAUCAGUAGCGGGUCUGAGAGGAUGAUCCGCCACACUGGGACUGAGACACGGCCCAGACUCCUACGGGAGGCAGCAGUGGGGAAUUUUGGACAAUGGGCGAAAGCCUGAUCCAGCCAUGCCGCGUGUCUGAAGAAGGCCUUCGGGUUGUAAAGGACUUUUGUCAGGGAGGAAAUCCCUAGUGCUAAUAAUACUGGGGGAUGACAGUACCUGAAGAAUAAGCACCGGCUAACUACGUGCCAGCCGCCGCGGUAA
This 504-nucleotide ribosomal RNA is filed under the name uncultured bacterium. RNAcentral describes it as "partial 16S ribosomal RNA". It matches the Rfam family "Bacterial small subunit ribosomal RNA", at positions 30 to 523 of the family's 1533-position model. The record is from RNAcentral.